GUAGGUGGCAAGCGUUGUCCGGAAUUAUUGGGCGUAAAGCGCGCGCAGGUGGUCUUUAAGUCUGAUGUGAAAGCCCCGGCUCAACCGGGGAGGGUCAUUGGAAACUGGGGAACUUGAGUGCAGGAGAGGAAAGUGGAAUUCCACGUGUAGCGGUGAAAUGCGUAGAUAUGUGGAGGAACACCAGUGGCGAAGGCGACUUUCUGGCCUGUAACUGACACUGAGGCGCGAAAGCGUGGGGAGCAAACAGGAUUAGAUACCCUGGUAGUCCACGCCGUAAACGAUGAGUGCUAAGUGUUGGGGGGUUUCCGCCCCUCAGUGCUGCAGCUAACGCAUUAAGCACUCCGCCUGGGGAGUACGGUCGCAAAGACUG
This 370-nucleotide ribosomal RNA is filed under the name uncultured organism. Its description in RNAcentral is "partial 16S ribosomal RNA". It matches the Rfam family "Bacterial small subunit ribosomal RNA", at positions 527 to 896 of the family's 1533-position model. The record is from RNAcentral.